GCGACCAUGGAGCAGCCGGCAGCGCGUAAGUCUCAUAAUCUUAAGGUCGUGAGUUCAAGCCUCACUGGUCGCA
Symsagittifera roscoffensis is the source of this 73-nucleotide non-coding RNA. NCBI's taxonomy places the organism in Eukaryota, Metazoa, Xenacoelomorpha, Acoela, Convolutidae. The record is from the annotation of a RefSeq genome assembly.